This is a non-coding RNA of Gossypium raimondii (Peruvian cotton), 217 nucleotides long. NCBI's taxonomy places the organism in Eukaryota, Viridiplantae, Streptophyta, Magnoliopsida, Malvales, Malvaceae. The record is from Rfam.
ACGACCUUAUGUAAACAAAAUCUGUUCUAUAGGCUCGUACCUCUGUAGCCUUUAGUUUAAAAGAGACAGAAUUUCAAGUCUGGUUGAUGAACUGAGAGUAUGUGAUUAGAGCGUGAUUAUUGGUUCUGUGAUGCCUUGUUGCCUCACCUUCACCAUAGAGGACCGUUCUCAGCUUGCCUUGUCUUGUUGGGAUGGUGAAAUAGUUGUUCAAUAGACU